RNAcentral lists this ribosomal RNA (274 nucleotides) under uncultured bacterium. Its description in RNAcentral is "partial 16S ribosomal RNA". It matches the Rfam family "Bacterial small subunit ribosomal RNA", at positions 523 to 796 of the family's 1533-position model. The record is from RNAcentral.
AUACAGAGGGUGCGAGCGUUAAUCGGAAUUACUGGGCGUAAAGCGCGCGUAGGCGGUUAUUUAAGUCAGAUGUGAAAUCCCUGGGCUCAACCUAGGAACUGCAUCUGAAACUGGAUAACUAGAGUUUAGGAGAGGGGAGUAGAAUUUCGGGUGUAGCGGUGAAAUGCAUAGAGAUCCGAAGGAAUACCAGUGGCGAAGGCGACUUCCUGGCCAAAAACUGACGCUGAGGUGCGAAAGCGUGGGUAGCAAACGGGAUUAGAAACCCCAGUAGUCC